CCCGAACCGCGCCGGCCACUGGGACUGGCGGACGCGCUCUGAGGUUAACUGGGGCACCGCCUUGUUGUCACCGUCGCAGGAGGCCGCCUGCGCUCUCGCUGAUCUAGUGAGGCUGGCGGAAGCCCUUCGGAGGCUCCCAGGAACCUCCUCGCUCGAAUCCGCAUUCAGAUUCCCGAAAUAGCUGUCCGGCUGACCCCGGCGUCCAACUCCCAAACGCCGAGAGGAGAUCCCAAUUUAGGAGAGGAGAGGAGCAGGAAUAACCCAUAUGUGACAGGCUGCUUUAUGGCAACCUCUACUUUUGUUCUGUAUUUCAAGGACGGAUUCAGUUUUUCCAAACAUGUUCAAUUCCAAAAUCCUUGGAGGCCUAGGACCUUGCAGAAACUCAUUUCCCAAUGCAACCUCUUUACAGCAUUGGCAACUGCUGUGCACUAGCUCAUCAAUUGAAUCAUACGCUGAGUAAAAGGACAAAGAGCCAGAAAUGCUCUCUAAUAGAUUUUCUCUUGGAGAAUAGAGUUGAAGUCCUUCCCUUCCAUGAAAACUUGAAGAAUGAAGUACUAAGCAACUUCUAAUAUAUUUAAACAUUUGAAAGCAAGAGUUGUAAAUGUAGCUUAGUGACACAGUGUUUGUCUAGAAAGCAUGAGGCCCUGGGUUCAGUCUUCAGCACUGUCAAAAUAAAAUAAA
Molecule: long non-coding RNA, 681 nt
Organism: Marmota monax (woodchuck)
Lineage: Eukaryota; Metazoa; Chordata; Mammalia; Rodentia; Sciuridae
Exons: 3
Source: RefSeq, a predicted model, not a curated record